Molecule: ribosomal RNA, 901 nt
Filed under: Cladosporium phlei
Lineage: Eukaryota; Fungi; Ascomycota; Dothideomycetes; Cladosporiales; Cladosporiaceae
Description: LSU rRNA
Rfam family: Eukaryotic large subunit ribosomal RNA
Source: RNAcentral
GCAUAUCAAUAAGCGGAGGAAAAGAAACCAACAGGGAUUGCUCUAGUAACGGCGAGUGAAGCAGCAAUAGCUCAAAUUUGAAAUCUGGCGUCUUCGACGUCCGAGUUGUAAUUUGUAGAGGAUGCUUCUGAGUGGCCACCGACCUAAGUUCCUUGGAACAGGACGUCAUAGAGGGUGAGAAUCCCGUAUGCGGUCGGAAAGGCGCUCUAUACGUAGCUCCUUCGACGAGUCGAGUUGUUUGGGAAUGCAGCUCUAAAUGGGAGGUAAAUUUCUUCUAAAGCUAAAUAUUGGCCAGAGACCGAUAGCGCACAAGUAGAGUGAUCGAAAGAUGAAAAGCACUUUGGAAAGAGAGUUAAAAAGCACGUGAAAUUGUUAAAAGGGAAGGGAUUGCAACCAGACUUGCUCGCGGUGUUCCGCCGGUCUUCUGACCGGUCUACUCGCCGCGUUGCAGGCCAGCAUCGUCUGGUGCCGCUGGAUAAGACUUGAGGAAUGUAGCUCCCUCGGGAGUGUUAUAGCCUCUUGUGAUGCAGCGAGCGCCGGGCGAGGUCCGCGCUUCGGCUAGGAUGCUGGCGUAAUGGUCGUAAUCCGCCCGUCUUGAAACACGGACCAAGGAGUCUAACAUCUAUGCGAGUGUUCGGGUGUCAAACCCCUACGCGUAAUGAAAGUGAACGGAGGUGAGAACCGCAAGGUGCAUCAUCGACCGAUCCUGAUGUCUUCGGAUGGAUUUGAGUAAGAGCAUAGCUGUUGGGACCCGAAAGAUGGUGAACUAUGCCUGAAUAGGGUGAAGCCAGAGGAAACUCUGGUGGAGGCUCGCAGCGGUUCUGACGUGCAAAUCGAUCGUCAAAUUUGGGUAUAGGGGCGAAAGACUAAUCGAACCAUCUAGUAGCUGGGUUCCUGCCGA